AUGAACAUUGCCGGCGUACAUAUACAAAUAUCGGAAAUUAACCCAUUGCCCUCCAUUUGUUCACACCAUACCUACCUAUAUAGUGCAUCACUCUGCACUGGGUAUUCCAUAGUAGUUGAUUAUUCCAUGAGCACAGUCAUCAAAGUUCGAGAAGACUCUAAAGCGCUUUAUUGCCAUCAACCCUGCAAACUUCAUUAUUAUGAAGAGCUAUAUUCACCAGCAUUGAUUUCUCUCUUAGAUACAAAUGAAAAAAAAAAGACAGAUGAACACCAUGCAAAAGAUCAAAGGGUUCAUUCUCAAGCAGGACAAAAUAGCCAGCAGAGCUUCCAUAUUCAUGUGCAGAUAAAUCAAACUACUACCUAUGCAUAUCGAUAA
Molecule: ribosomal RNA, 375 nt
Filed under: Triticum aestivum (bread wheat)
Lineage: Eukaryota; Viridiplantae; Streptophyta; Magnoliopsida; Poales; Poaceae
Description: partial small subunit ribosomal RNA
Source: RNAcentral